RNAcentral lists this ribosomal RNA (253 nucleotides) under uncultured bacterium. RNAcentral describes it as "partial 16S ribosomal RNA". It matches the Rfam family "Bacterial small subunit ribosomal RNA", at positions 524 to 776 of the family's 1533-position model. The record is from RNAcentral.
UACGGGGGGAGCUAGCGUUGUUCGGAAUCACUGGGCGUAAAGCGCACGUAGGCGGAUGUGUCAGUCAGGGGUGAAAUCCCGGAGCUCAACUUCGGAACUGCCUUUGAUACAGCACAUCUGGAGUCCGGAAGAGGUGGGUGGAAUUCCUAGUGUAGAGGUGAAAUUCGUAGAUAUUAGGAAGAACACCGGUGGCGAAGGCGGCCCACUGGUCCGGUACUGACGCUGAGGUGCGAAAGCGUGGGGAGCAAACAGG